GCGUCUGUAGCGCAAUGGAUAGCGCAUCGGUCUUCGGAACCGAGGGUUGGGGGUUCGAGUCCCUCCAGGCGUG
RNAcentral lists this transfer RNA (73 nucleotides) under Planctomycetia bacterium. RNAcentral's name for it is "tRNA-Arg". It matches the Rfam family "tRNA". Rfam says of the family: Transfer RNA (tRNA) molecules are approximately 80 nucleotides in length. Their secondary structure includes four short double-helical elements and three loops (D, anti-codon, and T loops). The record is from RNAcentral. Lineage: Bacteria; Pseudomonadati; Planctomycetota; Planctomycetia.